AUGUUACCUAAGAAAGGAGAUACAUGGCACGUGAAAGUUCAUAAACUACUACAAAAACCACUUUCAAAAAAAAUAUUCAUGAUAGUUAAAAUAAGCAAACCAAAUAUCAUUGGCUCCUCCCAUAUAACUCACAGGAAGGGUCAAUAUAAUGUAUUAGUUCCAAAAGUAGAACUACUUGGAAGUUGGCAUAUAGGAAAGGUAAUUGGCAAACUUCCAAAUACCCCAACCUAA
Non-coding RNA from Vicia faba (fava bean), 231 nucleotides. The record is from the annotation of a GenBank genome assembly. NCBI's taxonomy places the organism in Eukaryota, Viridiplantae, Streptophyta, Magnoliopsida, Fabales, Fabaceae.